CUCAAAGGAAUUGACGGGGACCCGCACAAGCGGUGGAGCAUGUUGUUUAAUUUGACGCAACGCGGAGAACCUUACCAGCCCUUGACAUCCUGGUCGCGAGGAGUGGAGACACACCUUUUCAGUUCGGCUGGACCAGUGACAGGUGGUGCACGGCUGUCGUCAGCUCGUGUCGUGAGAUGUUAGGUUAAGUCCUGCAACGAGCGCAACCCUUAUCGUCUGUUGCCAUCAUUAAGUUGGGCACUCUGACGAGACUGCCGGUGAUAAGCCGGAGGAAGGCGGGGAUGACGUCAAGUCAUCAUGCCCCUUACGGGCUGGGCUACACACGUGCUACAAUGGCGGUGACAGUGAGCAGCUACCUCGCGAGAGGACGCAAAUCUCUAAAAACCGUCUCAGUUCGGAUUGCACUCUGCAACUCGAGUGCAUGAAGUUGGAAUCGCUAGUAAUCGUGGAUCAGCAUGCCACGGUGAAUACGUUCCCGGGUCUUGUACACACCGCCCGUCAAGUGAUGGGAAUUGGUUCUACCUGAAGCCGGUGCGCUAACUUUUGAGGCAGCCGACCACGGUGGGAUCAGUGACUGGCACUAAGUCGUAACAAGGUAGCCGUAGGGGAACCUGCGGCUGGAUCACCUCCUU
This 632-nucleotide ribosomal RNA is filed under the name uncultured Alphaproteobacteria bacterium. RNAcentral's name for it is "bacterial SSU rRNA". It matches the Rfam family "Bacterial small subunit ribosomal RNA", at positions 900 to 1532 of the family's 1533-position model. The record is from RNAcentral. Lineage: Bacteria; Pseudomonadati; Pseudomonadota; Alphaproteobacteria.